UGGGGAAUAUUGGACAAUGGGCGCAAGCCUGAUCCAGCCAUGCCGCGUGGAUGAUGAAGGCCUUAGGGUUGUAAAAUCCUUUCGCCGAGGACGAUAAUGACGGUACCCCAAGAAGAAGCUCCGGCUAACUUCGUGCCAGCAGCCGCGGUAAUACGAAGGGGGCUAGCGUUGUUCGGAUUUACUGGGCGUAAAGCGCGUGUAGGCGGGCUGGAAAGUUGGGGGUGAAAUCCCGAGGCUCAACCUCGGAACUGCCUCCAAAACUUCCAGCCUGGACUCAAGUAGAGGCAAGUGGAAUUGCGAGUGUAGAGGUGAAAUUCGUAGAUAUUCGCAGGAACACCAGUGGCGAAGGCGACUUGCUGGACUUGUAGUGACGCUGAGACGCGAAAGCGUGGGGAGCAAACAGGAUUAGAUACCCAAGUAGUCCCUGAGCGGGCUGGCAAGGCGCAU
Molecule: ribosomal RNA, 447 nt
Filed under: uncultured bacterium
Lineage: Bacteria
Description: bacterial SSU rRNA
Rfam family: Bacterial small subunit ribosomal RNA
Source: RNAcentral